UCCUACGGGAGGCAGCAGUAAGGAAUAUUGGACAAUGGGCGAGAGCCUGAUCCAGCCAUGCCGCGUGCAGGAAGACGGACCUAUGGUUUGUAAACUGCUUUUGAACGAGAGAAAACCCGAGUACGUGUACUCGGCUGAUAGUAUCGUUAGAAUAAGCAUCGGCUAACUUCGUGCCAGCAGCCGCGGUAAGACGAAGGAUGCAAGCGUUAUCCGGAUUCAUUGGGUUUAAAGGGAGCGUAGGCGGACUUGUAAGUCAGUGGUGAAAUCUUUGGGCUUAACCCAGAAACUGCCAUUGAUACUGCAGGUCUAGAGUACAGUUGCCGUUGGCGGAAUAUGACAUGUAGUGGUGAAAUACUUAGAUAUGUCAUAGAACACCGAUUGCGAAGGCAGCUAACGAAGCUGUAACUGACGCUGAGGCUCGAAAGUGCGGGGAUCAAACAGGAUUAGAUACCCUGGU
RNAcentral lists this ribosomal RNA (457 nucleotides) under uncultured bacterium. Its description in RNAcentral is "bacterial SSU rRNA". It matches the Rfam family "Bacterial small subunit ribosomal RNA", at positions 337 to 791 of the family's 1533-position model. The record is from RNAcentral.